AUCAUAACUUGCUCGCUGAUGUAAUUUUAACAGACGUCGGUCAGUUGGUUAUGAAUUC
This 58-nucleotide microRNA precursor is filed under the name Tribolium castaneum (red flour beetle). RNAcentral describes it as "Tca-Mir-3809_pre stem-loop". The record is from RNAcentral. Lineage: Eukaryota; Metazoa; Arthropoda; Insecta; Coleoptera; Tenebrionidae.